AUUGAACGCUGGCGGCAGGCCUAACACAUGCAAGUCGAGCGGAGCGGCGGACGGGUGAGUACUGACUAGGGAUCUGCCUGGUAGUGGGGGAUCACGUCCGGACACGGGCGACAAUACCGCAUACUAUCAGAUGAGCUUAGGUUGGAUUAGCUAGUUGGUGGGGUAAAGGCCUACCAAGGCGACGAUCCGUAACUGGUCUGAGUGGCUGAUCAGUCACACUGGGACGGAGACACGGUCCAGACUCCGACGGGAGGCAGCAGUGGGGAAUAUUGGGCAAUGGGCGAAAGCCUGACCCAGCCAUGCCGCGUGUGUGAAGAAGGUCUUCGGAUUGUAAAGCACUGUGAGUUGGGAGGCGUUACCAACAGAAUAAGCACCGGCUAACUUCGUGCCAGCAGCCGCGGUAAUUC
This 407-nucleotide ribosomal RNA is filed under the name uncultured bacterium. Its description in RNAcentral is "partial 16S ribosomal RNA". It matches the Rfam family "Bacterial small subunit ribosomal RNA", at positions 30 to 526 of the family's 1533-position model. The record is from RNAcentral.